GAUGAACGCUGGCGGCGUGCCUAAUACAUGCAAGUCGAGCGAACAGACGAGUAGCUUGCUCCUCUAACGUUAGCGGCGGAAGGGUGAGGAACAUGUGGAUACCCUACCUAUAAGACUGGGAUAACUUCGUGAAACCGGAGCUAAUACCGUAUAAUAUAUUCAACCGCAUGGUUCAAUAGUUAAAGACGGUUUUGCUGUCACUUAGAGAUGUAUCCGCGCCGCAUUAGCUAGUUGGUAAGGUAACGGCUUACCAAGGCAACGAUGCGUAGCCGACCUGAGAGGGUGUUCGGCCACACUGGAACUGAGCCACGGCCCAGACUCCUACGGGAGGCAGCAGUAGCGACUCUUCCGCACUGGGCGGAAGCCUGCCGGAGCAACGCCGCGUGAGUGAUGAAGCUCUUCGGAUCGUAAAACUCUGUUAGUAGUGAAGACCAAAUGUGUAAGUAACGAUGCACGUCUUGACGGUACCUAAACAGAAAGCAACGGCUAACUACGUG
This 497-nucleotide ribosomal RNA is filed under the name uncultured bacterium. RNAcentral's name for it is "partial 16S ribosomal RNA". It matches the Rfam family "Bacterial small subunit ribosomal RNA", at positions 28 to 507 of the family's 1533-position model. The record is from RNAcentral.